RNAcentral lists this ribosomal RNA (319 nucleotides) under uncultured eukaryote. Its description in RNAcentral is "partial 18S ribosomal RNA". It matches the Rfam family "Eukaryotic small subunit ribosomal RNA", at positions 1470 to 1796 of the family's 1831-position model. The record is from RNAcentral.
CCCUUAGAUGUUCUGGGCAGCACUCGCGCUACAAUGGUCUUCGCAAACGGAUGCAUUCUCGAAGGAGAAUGCCAAUCUUGGAAUCUAUGCCUUGGUCGGGACAGUUGCUUGCAAUUUUUCGACUCGAACCAGGAAUUCCUUGUAAUCGUGAUUCAUCACAUCACGAUGAAUACGUCCCUGCCCUUUGUACACACCGCCCGUCGCUCCUACCGAUCGAAGAGUUAGGUGAAUUGUUUUGAUCGAUAAGAUUUGACUAUGGUCAACUCUCGUUGUGAAAUUCUGUGAAUCUGACUGUUUAGAGGAAGGAAAAGUCGUAACA